CUCACAACUCCGCCUGCAGCCCCUCCGUGGGCUACUGCCGGUCCCAAGCCCGGAUAAAGGAGGAGGGUUGAG
This 72-nucleotide non-coding RNA is filed under the name Schistosoma mansoni. Lineage: Eukaryota; Metazoa; Platyhelminthes; Trematoda; Strigeidida; Schistosomatidae. The record is from RNAcentral.